Molecule: unclassified non-coding RNA, 220 nt
Filed under: Hevea brasiliensis (rubber tree)
Lineage: Eukaryota; Viridiplantae; Streptophyta; Magnoliopsida; Malpighiales; Euphorbiaceae
Source: RNAcentral
GUGAUCAUCACAGUCAGGACAGCCAGCCACACCAACAUUGGGGUGAAGCACCUGAAGCUGCUCCGGCCAAACGAUGUCCUCCAAAUCGGACAUGUCUACCGCCUCGUCAGCUUUGAAGAGGUUCUGAAAGAGUUUGCCUCGAAGAGGCACGUGAAGCUGAGCAGACUGCUAACGGCGGCGGAGGAGAAGAAGAGAGCUAAAUCUUCGAGCAGGAGAGGAG